Molecule: long non-coding RNA, 800 nt
Filed under: Olea europaea subsp. europaea
Lineage: Eukaryota; Viridiplantae; Streptophyta; Magnoliopsida; Lamiales; Oleaceae
Source: RNAcentral
UGAGGCGCCAGAAUUGGGCGCCAUGGCACCCAAUGAAGCAGCAAAGGGAGCAGAAACGCUAAGGCUGCAGCACCAAAUCCAGACUUCGCGGCGUCGACCCCGAACUGCAGAAGACCCAGAGUUUUAAAUUACAAUCUCUCGGCCCAAUUCAUCUACACUCGGUCCAGAAUUCCAAGAGAAUAUAAAUACUGGAAAGAAGACCUAACCAAGGGGAUUGGAAGCGGCAAAAACAGAGCUUCGAAGAGGGACGACUGAAGACAAAAUUGAAAGGGGGUUUUGGUGGAAUUUGAAGGGAGCUUCAGCCGACCAAGUUGGGGGACAAUAUGGAGAGGAAACAGAGACUUUCAGCAGACAACUGGAAGGAGAGAAUCUGGGAAUUGAGUCGGUCAAUUGAGGAAGAAAAGAGGAGUUUCCAGCCACUCAUUAAUACAAAACUUGAAGAGGGAUUCUGGAAGGAUUUCAACCGUAAAACACAGAAAACUUCAAGGGGAUUGAAGAGAAGUCAGCCUGCAGAGACAAUAAUUUCAAGGGAACGGCUGGAUACAAUUGAAGGGGACGACUCACCUUGAGAAGCGUGGAAACAAAGGGAAAAGAAUUGUUUGACACUUGGUUUAUUUCUUUUGUUCGACACUUAGGGUAUGUUUGAUUACAUUUAUUUUUCAUGAAAAAUAUUAAUUUUUCACCCAAAUUUCUACUUGAAGUAUUUGAUUGCUAUUUUUUUCCAUGGAAAAUAUUUUCCAACUUUUGAAAAUAUGUCUAAUUUUAUUUGUUUUUAAGGAAAAUAUUUUCUUUGGGUGGAG